This 383-nucleotide unclassified non-coding RNA is filed under the name uncultured bacterium. RNAcentral describes it as "contains 16S-23S intergenic spacer region". The record is from RNAcentral.
CGAACAACUAUGGUUCGGCGGUUGUCCAGAUCACCCGUCGUCCCCGUAUCGAUCUGAUCCCCGUCAGUCAGGUCGCUCGCGUCAACAGCGACGAUACGAACUACGAGCUUCUUUUCCCGAUGUCGACGACCUAUGGCAACCCCAACAGGGUCUUCCGCAACCUUCUGCUUGUCAACGGUGUCGCCGGAGCAUUCCUGCGUGACGUGACGGUGGAGACCGACCAGCCCUGGCUGCGCGUAAGCCUCGAGGAUCCGGCCAUCGGUGUCGGACAGGGUGGCGAGAGCGGCGAGCGCGGAGUCUAUAUCCGCCAGGUCGGCCUGCAGCAGAACAUCAACGUGAUCGCCAACCCGGCAUUCCUGCCGAACGACGGCACGUAUGCGACC